Molecule: transfer RNA, 82 nt
Filed under: Parcubacteria group bacterium CG08_land_8_20_14_0_20_38_56
Lineage: Bacteria
Also listed under: 1 other name
Description: tRNA-Tyr
Rfam family: tRNA
About the family: Transfer RNA (tRNA) molecules are approximately 80 nucleotides in length.
Source: RNAcentral
GGGUGCGUCGGAUAGCGGCUAUUCCACCUCUCUGUAAAAGAGGCGCUUUCGGGCUUCGCAGGUUCGAGUCCUGCCGCACCCA